GCGGAUGUGGCGGAAUUGGUAGACGCGGGGGCCUGUCUUUUUGGUAUUAUAUUAUUGUGAUACCAGAAAGCCCCUGGUUAUUAUGCCGUAAGGGUUCGAAUCCCUUCAUCCGCA
RNAcentral lists this transfer RNA (114 nucleotides) under Fidelibacterota bacterium. RNAcentral's name for it is "tRNA-OTHER". It matches the Rfam family "tRNA". From Rfam's summary of the family: Transfer RNA (tRNA) molecules are approximately 80 nucleotides in length. Their secondary structure includes four short double-helical elements and three loops (D, anti-codon, and T loops). Further hydrogen bonds mediate the characteristic L-shaped molecular structure. tRNAs have two regions of fundamental functional importance: the anti-codon, which is responsible for specific mRNA codon recognition, and the 3' end, to which the tRNAs corresponding amino acid is attached (by aminoacyl-tRNA synthetases). tRNAs cope with the degeneracy of the genetic code in two manners: having more than one tRNA (with a specific anti-codon) for a particular amino acid; and 'wobble' base-pairing, i.e. permitting non-standard base-pairing at the 3rd anti-codon position. The record is from RNAcentral. Lineage: Bacteria; Pseudomonadati; Fidelibacterota.